RNAcentral lists this unclassified non-coding RNA (450 nucleotides) under Hevea brasiliensis (rubber tree). Lineage: Eukaryota; Viridiplantae; Streptophyta; Magnoliopsida; Malpighiales; Euphorbiaceae. The record is from RNAcentral.
GGAAGAUCAAAGAGAAAAUGACGAGUCUCCACUUCCUCACUGCUGUUGCUUUCACUUUCUUCCUUACAGCUCAUAUUGCUGCAGCUGGUUCAUCUGUAACUCCCUACCUCUUCAUUUCAUCUAACUAAUUUAAUGCUUUUCAAUCUCAAUUCACUACUCAUCUUUCUAUUCCACCUGAUCCAACUUUUAGAUCGAUCGAGUUUCAUUUUAUUUUAUUUGAUCCUAAUUAUUACUCUUGUUGUAGCUUAUUUGCCUUUCACAUUGAUUUAUUGAUACUAUUGAUUCAUCAUCCAUGUUCCAUUCCUCGAUCUGUUUAUUUUUUGCUUGCAUUUUUAGAUCAUAGCGAGAUCUGCAUCUGUACUAUCAAUGCAAAUAUGCAGUAUUUGGAUUUGAGACACACUGAUUAACAAUGUUUUGGUGCUUGCAGGAAGAGUGUGUGUAUACUCUGUA